AAUAAAAAUAUCUUUGGUUGGGGCAACCACGAAGAAAAAAAAACCUUUGUUCUAAAAAAGAAUAAACAAAUUUAAAAUUUUUGAAAUUUAAAGAUCCAGAAAACUGAUCAAAGAAAAAAGUUACCGCAGGGAUAACAGCGUUAUUCUCUUUAAGAGUUCAUAUUGACAAGAGAGUUUGCGACCUCGAUGUUGGACCGGGGCACCCAAGAGGUGCAACAGCCUCUAAAGGUGGGUCUGUUCGACCUUUAAAGCCCUACGCGAUCUGAGUUCAGACCGACGCAAGUCAGGUCAGUUUCUAUCUA
RNAcentral lists this ribosomal RNA (302 nucleotides) under Poliometra prolixa. Its description in RNAcentral is "partial 16S ribosomal RNA". It matches the Rfam family "Bacterial large subunit ribosomal RNA", at positions 2257 to 2643 of the family's 2925-position model. The record is from RNAcentral. Lineage: Eukaryota; Metazoa; Echinodermata; Crinoidea; Comatulida; Antedonidae.